UGAUCUUUUUUCAUCUCCAUUGUCAUUUCGUAUCUUACGAUACAGAUUCUGGACUGUGCUUUCAGAAAGGUAUCAAAAGCAACAAAACAGUGGCAGCUACGUAAUAUUCCAUCCACAAUAAGCAAACAGUCCCAUUUUCACAAAACUAAGUGUACUGACAUGGCCAGAAAACAGGCAAUGGACACAGGGCUACAUUUUCUUUGGUACUAGAGAAAAGUCUAGUGGAUUUUACAUACAAGGAGAAACAGUUUGGUCUCUCGCCCUAUAAAAUACUAAGAGCGAGAGGCAAGGAAUGUGCUCGUUUUGAAUAUAGGUAUUCCGGUAUAGGCUUUGUAGACACCAUGAGAUGUCAUUUACUUAUAGAAUAAAUGCAGAAGUUUUCCAAAAAUCAUGCAAGUAACAGCCAACAAAUGAAAUCAAGAUCAAGGUUAGUUCUUUAGCUUUCAGAGCAACUCUUUGAAUCUGCUACACUCACACUCCAAAAACUCUUCUUUCCAGCAAACGGAAGUGUUUGACAACUAGAUCAGUGCAACUCAGAGCAAAGAACAAGAAAAGAAAAAAAGGUACACAUGGACUCAUCUCCAAGACUAGAAGGCUCAUAAAUUAUAUUCCAUUUUUAAACAUGCAGUAUUCACUCUUACUGUUUCAGAAGGAAAACACCAGCAGAGACAGCCUUAGACAGGCUGCUUUCAUUUAAAAGAAUAGGAUCUACUGGGCUUUAUCUUCAGCUCUGCUUUAACCUCAUUAGCCCACAGAUUUGCACUAGAGUGAAUCCGGCCUGCAAAGCACUAACACAAGUACAACUGCCAAAAGAUUUUCAUUCUUUCAUUAUUCUGCUUUUGUUCCAUUUACCAAAGCAGGUGGGAAUAAUGUCCAUGGCUGUAUAAACUCAUGAAAGCCAACUUACAUAGUAAAUGCUUGAAAAGUAGCUACAACCACCAUAAAAUCAAACUAAGGAGGCAAAGUAACUCACUAUCUCUCUCUCCUGGCAACACGGAAAGGUAAUUGUACAAAGCAUACCGUAUCGCAUAGCAAACCUGGCUUUAAUCAUCUUAAAGAAGGUCCAGAGGAGAACAGAUUCAAGCCUUCUCUGUAAGGAUGGGGGACAUUUGGGGAAAGUAUCUUUUACUUCUGUAUAGCACAAACCUCUGUUACACAGGUCAGCCCUACAGGCAAUAACAACUAAGUUCAAGAUGCUGAGGCAGAGAGUCCCUGCAGCCUUCUAGUGUCCACUAGUGAAGGAACGUACAGUAAAAGCAAGAAGUAGGAAUAAUUGUUCUAUUUUUACCUUAUUCUCCUUUGCAAAGCAUUUGUCAUAACGGAUUUACUGCCCAACAGCUUGUUUCUAAUGGGAAAUACUACAAAGUGUGGAGAGGUAGCCUUUUGCAAAAACCUGAAACCAGAAGAAUUCCUCCACUUGCCCUCAAAAAAAAAAAAAAAAAAAAAAAAAAACCUACAAAAGUGAGAAGUGCAGA
Molecule: long non-coding RNA, 1475 nt
Organism: Cygnus olor (mute swan)
Lineage: Eukaryota; Metazoa; Chordata; Aves; Anseriformes; Anatidae
Exons: 2
Source: RefSeq, a predicted model, not a curated record